Long non-coding RNA from Melanotaenia boesemani (Boeseman's rainbowfish), 1534 nucleotides. RefSeq lists it as uncharacterized. The record is from RefSeq and is a predicted model, not a curated record. The transcript has 3 exons. Lineage: Eukaryota; Metazoa; Chordata; Actinopteri; Atheriniformes; Melanotaeniidae.
AAUACCAUGACCUGAGGAAGAAAUAAAAACAGCCUCAAAAGAAGAAAAAAUAAAUUAAGACAAAUUACGAAGAAGCUUGCUGCCACCAACCAGACAUGAUGUGGUGAGGCUGGAGGAUUAAACUAUUUGGAGUGAAAAGGCAGCUGUGAUGGAGGAGGUGAGUUCAACAUCCUACAGUUUUAGGAAAGGAGAUGGUCAUAUCCUGUUGACAACUUAAGAGACACUCCUAGAUCAACCAUAGGAAGAACCUCCAACCUGUGCACCAUCCUCUGAACCACCGUCAGUGCCAGCUGACAGAGGUGUGGAUGAGAGUGUAACAGCUGAGCAGUUUCCCUCUCCACCUGAGCUCAGAAGAUCCAUCUGACAGACUGAAUUUUUAACACCCAAGACAGCGGUGUGUGUCCUUUUAUUUAAAUAAAUAAAGAAGGAAAGAAAGAAAGAAAACUGAACUGGACUGUUGUUUGAAACAGAAAUAUUGCACCUAAAAUUAGAUAUCUGUUUAUGGUUGUUAAAAUAAAAGUUGUGUUUUUAAUUACAAACAGGCUCAUACACAAAUGGGGUUUUAUGUUUUUAUGUUAAAUCGUAUUGUUAAGGAAGAUAACUAAAUAUGAGAAAAUUGUUAGCCGACUUUGUUGUGUGACUUUAAUCUGUUUAUGUUUUUUAAGAAAAUGGUGAGCUAGUGCUGGGACGGUAGGAACCUGUUAUACCUCCGUCCGCUAGAGGGCAGUGCAUCCUUCACGGGAGGUUUAACUUCCGGGUCACGCAGCAAGAACGUUUGAUGCUAACGUGAAACUACAGCUGGAGACUCCGGCGUAUCUGGAUACUGACUAUUGCUGCUUUCUGUCCUCUGUGGAGACCAGCUCUCUGGGAGAAACGACGGGGCGGGAGAAGGAUCGGACCAAGACUUGUUAUCGACGGGACCCUCGUCGGGAAGGAAGUGUUACCUGCAGAUGGUCAACAGCUGUUGGUGAUUGAAGAGGGAGUUCCCUGGAAAUGGAGUCUGGACAAGCAGGAUUCAGAUCCUCUCUGCAUAGAAGAGGAACCAGAGGAACUGUUGCCCAAUCAGGAUGUGAUAAAAGUGAUAAAAGGGCACAUGGUUCAGGUCUAAACGAUGAUGUAGAGUGUAACACUGUCAACAACUCCCUCAGCUGCUCUGAAUGUGGUGAAGCGUUUACUGACCAACAAUCUCUCCAGAGACAUUUAAAAGAGAAGCCUUUGAGUUGUUUGAAUCAUAAGAAAUGUUUUAAAGGGACACCAAAUGUAAAUUCUCAGAAAAGGGUCCCCACAGGGGAAAAAACUGUUGGAUGUGAUGUUUGUGGUAAAAUCUGUAGUCAUAAAGCAGAUCUAAAGAUACACAUGAGAAUCCACACAGGAGACAAAACAUUCAGCUGUGAUGAAUGUGGACAAAGAAUUAGUCACAAGACAAACUUAAGCCGACACAUGAGAAUCCACACAGGAGAAAAACCAUUCAGCUGUGAUGAAUGUGGACAAAGAUUUAGUCACAAGACAAACUUAGACCGACACAUGAGAAUCC